GUAGGUGGCUAGCGUUGUCCGGAAUUAUUGGGCGUAAAGCGCGCGCAGGCGGUUUUUUAAGUCUGAUGUGAAAGCCCACGGGCUCAACCGUGGAGGGUCAUUGGAAACUGGAGAACUUGAGUACAGAAGAGGAAAGCGGAAUUCCACGUGUAGCGGUGAAAUGCGUAGAGAUGUGGAGGAACACCAGUGGCGAAGGCGGCUUUCUGGUCUGUAACUGACGCUGAGGCGCGAAAGCGUGGGGAGCAAACAGGAUUAGAUACCCUGGUAGUCCACGCCGUAAACGAUGAGUGCUAAGUGUUAGGGGGUUUCCGCCCCUUAGUGCUGCAGCUAACGCAUUAAGCACUCCGCCUGGGGAGUACGGCCGCAAAGGCUG
Molecule: ribosomal RNA, 373 nt
Filed under: uncultured organism
Description: partial 16S ribosomal RNA
Rfam family: Bacterial small subunit ribosomal RNA
Source: RNAcentral